UGCAAGUCGAGCGGAAACGAAGGUAGCUUGCUACCAGGCGUCGAGCGGCGGACGGGUGAGUAACGCGUAGGAAUCUGCCUAGUAGAGGGGGACAACAUGUGGAAACGCAUGCUAAUACCGCAUACGCCCUGAGGGGGAAAGGAGGGGAUCACUUGUGACCUUCCGCUAUUAGAUGAGCCUGCGUGAGAUUAGCUAGUUGGUAGGGUAAAGGCCUACCAAGGCGACGAUCUCUAACUGGUCUGAGAGGAUGACCAGUCACACUGGGACUGAGACACGGCCCAGACUCCUACGGGAGGCAGCAGUGGGGAAUAUUGGACAAUGGGCGCAAGCCUGAUCCAGCCAUGCCGCGUGUGUGAAGAAGGCCUUAGGGUUGUAAAGCACUUUCAGGGGUGAGGAAGGGUGAGUCGCUAAUAUCGACUUAUCUUGACGUUAGCCCCAGAAGAAGCACCGGCUAACUCUGUGCCAGCAGCCGCGGUAAUACAGAGGGUGCAAGCGUUAAUCGGAAUUACUGGGCGUAAAGCGCGCGUAGGUGGUUUGUUAAGUCUGAUGUGAAAUCCCAGGGCUCAACCUUGGAAUGGCACCGGAUACUGGCUAGCUAGAGUAUGGUAGAGGGGUGUGGAAUUUCCUGUGUAGCGGU
RNAcentral lists this ribosomal RNA (637 nucleotides) under uncultured bacterium. Its description in RNAcentral is "bacterial SSU rRNA". It matches the Rfam family "Bacterial small subunit ribosomal RNA", at positions 56 to 682 of the family's 1533-position model. The record is from RNAcentral.